GGGGAGGGAGAGCUGGCAUGGUGUUCUGUUAAUGGCCUAGCGGCUGGGGAAGAGCAGGCUCAACAGAGCGGCCGGAAUCUCCUCCUGCAGUGCGGACUACCUGAAGAGCACAUUCUGAUUAAAAUUCUCUUCCUAUUUGCAGGAGCUGGGGCUUACGGGAUAUCCGAGGGAUUGGAGAGACUGAUAGAGCCUUACUCGGGUUUGCUGUUCUGUUAAUAAAUGUGUGCAGCUCACAAGGGCACACAGCAGACAAAGUCAUUUUGCAGGUGGAGAAGGGCCGCUGGGAGCCCACGACAUGGCACGGGGAGGAAGAAUUUUAAAAACGGUGAGCCUGGGCAUUUAGCUGAAGAAAUUUCCAAAGGUAACCUGGAGAAUGUGGCUUGGCUUCUCCUUGCAGCUUACAAAAUGCUAGAUGAGAGAAAUACUCUUGAGGACUGAACUGUCAGGCACAAAGAAAACGGAAA
RNAcentral lists this long non-coding RNA (464 nucleotides) under Dasypus novemcinctus (nine-banded armadillo). Its description in RNAcentral is "lncRNA (ENSDNOG00000050823.1)". The record is from RNAcentral. Lineage: Eukaryota; Metazoa; Chordata; Mammalia; Cingulata; Dasypodidae.